UGAACUGCUGUGGCCUGGGACUGGGCUUAGAGUACAGGCAGCUGCUGCGGUGAAGGUGUCAGAAGGCACAGGCUAGGGUCCCAGAGAGGUUUAGGAGGGGGUUUCUCUGCUGGGUGUUUGCUCAGUGCUGGAUGGUGGGUGCUGAGGGCCUCAUUUGCAUAGGGAGAGCAGCUGCUGUCCCAGCCACACUGCUGCCCACAAUCUCCACGUGGCUGCAAUCUCGCUCUCAGUCACCAUCUCCCACAUGGACUAGGGGUUACCCAGGCUGCCUUGGCCACGUGCUUCCCCCAACACACAGCCAUCCAGGAACAACCAGAAAUCAGACUACUGUCUCCGCCACCCUCAGGGGUUCCAUUCAGGGAGUCCACCUCCCAAGGUGGCUGUGGGAAUAAAACGAGAUCCUGGGGGAAGCAGAGAGCCCAGUGCACAGGGGUGAUCAGUAACCGGCAGCCCCUUUCCCUGCCUUUCCCUCUACUUCCAACAUUAUGUUGUGAAGAACAGGGCAGACCUGGGCCCAUGCUAUCUCUCACCCUGGCUCUGUGACUUGAGGCAACUCACUCCAACUCUGUAAAUCAACUGCUCAUCUGCAAAACUGGCAAGAAACUGAGAAGGCACUGGUUCUCAGAUUGGCAAAGCUCAUCGUCACUGCCUCACUCCCUCAACUCUAUGUCCAGGGACCACGGGUUUCCCAGGGUUCCCAAACUUGCUGUUGGCAAAGGGCCUGAUAUCCGUCACUGACCUUUUUAUUCUGAAUGGGUCCCCGUUGACUUUAAAGCUGGAAUAUUCUUAGAGGAAUUCUAAACUCCUCCUUUCCAACUCCCUACUCAUUUUACAGAAGGAGAAAGUGAAGAGAAGAGAGGGAGAAGGGCCCUGACCGAGGCCACCAGCUUGUAAGUAGCAGCCCUAGGCUUGGGACCAGGGCCUCCUGAAGGUGACAGUCCUUUCAGCCAUGUGUCCUUGUUCCUCUAGUUACCUCCAAUUAACUCUAGGUAACCCAGCCCAGUCUUUGAUUCUGUGUUGAAAGGUGCGAGGUGCUGGAGCCGGGAAGAGGUGCGUUCUUGCUCUCGACAGGAAGUGUCAUUGGCUCUGCAGCAAGUGCCUCUAGGGACAAGGAACUCACUACCUCCUAGAGUGACACAUGCCCAUUCUUUGAACAAGUGUGACUGCCGGGAAAAAGGUGUACUGCGUACAGCUGUCAAGAAUGCAAAUGCCACUGAGUGUUGGGGGCAUGGGCAGCUCCGGAGCCAUCAACCUGGCCAGUCUUCACAGCCUACCCCAGUGGCAGACCCCCUGAAUCCACCCCAGGGCCCCAGUAAGCCCCCGUGAACCUGUGAACUUUGCAUUUCUAUGCUCAACACUCAGGGUGAGCAGUCCAGAAAAAACAACCCAUGCACAGCAGGUGCUGGGGGUAGUCAGGCUUCAAGAUGCCUCCAAAUGGUUCUCAUCUCUGAGUAUUCACACUGAAUGGAACUGACCUAUGUAACUAACAGGAUGUCGUGGGAAUGACAGGCAUGACUUCCAUGGCUAGGUCAUAAAGAGAUUGUGGCUUCUACCUUGCUCUCUCUUGGACCCCAGUUGCUGGAGGAAGCCAUCUGCCAUGUCAAACAGCCUAUGGAGAUGCCCAUGUGGGGAAGAAUGGAGGUCCCCUGCCAACAAUCAGCUUUGACAUGCCAAGCCUGUGAGGGAGCCAUCUGGAAAGGGAGUCUUCCAGCCCCAAUCAGGCCUUCAGAUGACUGCAGCCCUGGCCAGCUCCUUGACUGCAACCUCAUGACAGACCUUGAGCAAGAACUGCUCAGCUAAGCUGCUUCUGAAUUCUUAACCUACAGAAAUGUCUAAUGCUUUAAGAAGCAAAGUAUGGGGUAAUUUACCACAUGCAAUAGAUAACAAAACCAUGUGCAAUAAAUACUGGUUAAACAAGUGAAUG
Molecule: long non-coding RNA, 1924 nt
Filed under: Homo sapiens (human)
Lineage: Eukaryota; Metazoa; Chordata; Mammalia; Primates; Hominidae
Description: HSALNT0005669
Source: RNAcentral